Molecule: long non-coding RNA, 448 nt
Organism: Daphnia magna
Lineage: Eukaryota; Metazoa; Arthropoda; Branchiopoda; Diplostraca; Daphniidae
Exons: 2
Source: RefSeq, a predicted model, not a curated record
CAUAUCACAACUUUUUUCCCUCAACGAAGUUCACUUUUCAGAAAUUGUGAACUGUAGUUCAUCAAAACAUGGCCUCUGUAUCUCAAUCUUUACUAUGGCCUCUGUAUCUCAAUCUUUACUAUACUAUGUACUACUGAAGAAUACAGAAUGCGAGCCGAGCAGACGAAAUAAACUGCGGUACUUGGAAGUUGGAACCUGGUUGGAAAGACGAACCAACAACCAAAUACAUGUAAAAGUUUUGGCUUGCAUAGAAUCCGACAGUUCAACAGGAAAUUAUGUAUUUGUAACAGAACUGGAACUACAUCUAGAUAUACGCCUAAUUAAUCGAGACUAUUUAGAUUAAUGGUGCGCAGGCUGGCUCACCACAAGGCAAGAUUGAGACUGAAAGCUUUUGAAACUGAAACACAACGCGUGUAAAACUAACAAAUCACUUAAGAAUAACAAGAAA